Molecule: ribosomal RNA, 253 nt
Filed under: uncultured bacterium
Lineage: Bacteria
Description: partial 16S ribosomal RNA
Rfam family: Bacterial small subunit ribosomal RNA
Source: RNAcentral
UACGGAGGGUGCGAGCGUUAAUCGGAAUAACUGGGCGUAAAGGGCACGCAGGCGGGCUAUUAAGUUAGAUGUGAAAUCCCCGGGCUUAACCUGGGAAUAGCAUUUCAGACUGGGUGUCUAGAGUAGUUUAGGGAGGGGUAGAAUUCCACGUGUAGCGGUGAAAUGCGUAGAGAUGUGGAGGAAUACCGAAGGCGAAGGCAGUCCCUUGGGAAAGUACUGACGCUCAUGUGCGAAAGCGUGGGGAGCAAACAGG